UUCUGAAAUCUCUGGAAACUUCUCAAGUAUUGAGCAAAAAGAGAGAUCAAAGGUUUCAAGAGAUUUCAUACAAAUGUUGCUUGAAAAGGUCUUGAGUUUGCUGCACCAACUUAGAUCCAAGAGGACAAGUUUUUCAAGGGCAGAAAUGGAUGGGUGAACCUUAUAUAAACUUGUGCAUCCACCAAGAAUUAGCUUCUCAAGAUUCUUUGCCUCAGUGAAGUCAGGUGUGUCCUUAAGACGAUAAGAGCCUUUUAAAUUGAUAAUUUUCAACUUUCCCAGAGGCUAUCAAUAUACAUCAAGGAAAAUAUGUGUUACCUACAUAACAAGGCAUUUAAAAACUAAACCAUUUAAAAGCAGUAUAUAGGCAAAUGAUGAACGUACCUUAGUUCCUUUCCAGAGGUGUUCAACCCAACUAUAUUGCAUGUCAAUCUCAACAAGAUUCUCGCGGUUAAAAUUGGACGACAAAGACUUUAGGGGACAUUUGUGCCAGAAUAGAUAACUUAGUUUUUCAGAGAGAAACUUUAGAUCCUCGUACUGGCAGUGAUCAUUGGCCGGCUCGCAGUCUGGUGGUAAAUAGUCGGUAUGGACUCUGAGUAGUCUUAGUUUUCGCAUUUGAGCAAAGGCGGUAUCUAAUUCCACCACAUUGUUUGAGUGUGGCCAAUGCACAAUUAUGCUUUCAACUGCUUCUGUAGCCUGGAUUACCAAAAUUGCACAUUGAAUGAGUACAAACUUAAGAUUAUAACGCCUAAUGCACAUGUUUCUCAUGAAUUGGAUUUUGGUCAAAGUCGAAUCAUUAUACUUAUUAUUAUUGUUGUUGUUGUUAUUAUUAUUAUUUAAAUUUACUAAUAUUAAUGGGAGAGAGAAGAUUCGAAGCAAUUACAUUAACGGAGGGGAGGGGAGUGCAUUUCUCACCGUUUUAUUAGUUAACACAUGACGGACAUCUUCACAGCAGCAUAACCUACUGCGCCUCCCAGGCUCUUCUAUAGAUUCCUCGCGUACGAUUUCAUGACCCAUUUCCUCUAGUAAAUCAUGCAUCUCGAGGACACCAUCAGAUGAGAUGGUGACAAGAGCUCUACCAACUAGAACCUCUAAUCCGGUAUGGGGAUGGAAGGCACAACCCUCCAUAAUCCUUGUUGCAGAGUCUUUCUUCAUUUGUUUAAAGAAACAUGCAAUAUCAAGAAAUAUUUUCUUCUGCAAACCAUCUAGUCCAUCAAAGCUUGUUCUAAGGACUGUCUGGAUUCCCAGGUUCGGAUUUCUCGCUAUUUUCUUUAACUCAUCUUUCCACACAAGUACACUUUUGUUAUCGAGGAAUCCUCCCAAGACUUUGAGUGCUAAAGGCAAACCUUGAGCAUAUUUUGUGAAAUGGCCUGACAGAUCAAUGUAUUCUUUUGUGGGUUGCUUUGUCCUGAAAGCAUCCUGCAUAAACAGCUUGAGAGCAUCUUCAUCGUUUAACACCUCGGGCUCAUAUAUCUGACCACCAAGUCCAUUUAGUGACUGUUUAUCUCUAGUUGUUAUAAUGAUUCGACUUCCGCCACCAAAUGAAGGUUGCUUUCCAAUUAAGGCUUCAAUUUGUCUCCACAUUAUCCAGAACAAGUAAAACUUUUUUCUUACCAACUCUUUCCAUCAUCUUCUGAAAACCAUUUCUCAAAAUCUCUGAACGCCCCACCUUCAUAUUUGUGAUACUAGAUAGAAUUUCUGCCUGCAUAUCUAGUGGUGCUUCACCUGCAUCAGUUGACGGAAAACGUCUCUUGACAUUUUCAACAAAGCAACCACCUUCGAAGAGAUGAUUGAUUUUGUCAUACAUAGCUCUAGCGAUGGUGGUUUUGCCUAUACCGCCCAUACCCCAUAUUCCAACAAAGCGAACGUUACCGAGCUCGGGACAUAAUAGUGACUCCAUUUUCUGUAAGCGGGAAUCCAUCCCAACCAAGCCAUUCUUUUCACUUGGUAAGAUGUUCAUCAAUUUCUUUAAAAUAUCACCUACAAUCAACUUAAUAAGCUUGGCAUCAUCCCUGCCAAAUUUGAAAAACAGUAUUGUCAAGUCCUGGGAUUGCUAGUUAUAUAACACUCAUCACACUGUCAUUGAAAACACAAAGUAACGACCCAAUAAUUCUCAAUUUAUUCUUCUUUCAUUUACUCAAUGCACUCUUCUAAGUUCAAUCAACAUAUAAGAGAACUAGUCAUCUAUAUCCUCUCAAGAUGUUUUAUAGACCUUUUAAUCGUGCCCCUUUAUAUUGAUCUUGCGGUGAAGAAUUAAUUUAACUUGUUCUUUUUUUACUUAUUCAUGUUGGACGACGUCUUUUCUACAUUAUUUCUCUUUUUUAUAUUAUUUUCCUCGUCCCUUGUCAUGGCAAAGAUCUAGAUGUGGCAGUGGAAAGUUUUGCAGAGAGUUGGUGAGUAUUCAAUUUUGUAGAGGGUUGGGAAGGAAGUCUUGGUUCUAGUUGUAUUAACAUCAUUAUAAACUAAAAAGACCAAAACAGGAAAUUAGCUAAACUUGUAAACUAGUAAGUAAAUAAGAUUAUGAAGGAAUGAGUUACUGGCAAUUUUGUGAAUCCCAGCCACAUAAAUUGGGGGCUCUUUGUAAAGCGGACCUCCACCGCUGCACUUCUUCCAUGUCGGCGUUAGGAUCAUGUUCAUGUUUAGAAAAAGCUUUCUCAAAACUUCCCUUGAUUUUACGAACAUGAGAUGGGUCUACUUGGUAGAAAAUGGGAAUCACAAUCUGCUUCUUCUGAUCCAUGCAUUGCAGGAUUUGGACGAGUUCUUUCAAGCACCAUGUGGAAGAAGCGUAGUUUUGAGAAAAAACUACAACUGAAAGCCGUGAGUCGCUUAUAGCUGUCAGUAGCUGCGAAAGGUCGUUGCCUUUUCUGAGCUCUUCAGCGUCACUGAAGGUGUUGAUUGAGUUCUGAACUAGAGCUUCGUAGAGAUGGCAGAUGAAGGUCCUGCGAGUGUCUUCGCCUUGAAAAUUCAAGAAGACUUGAUAUUUCCUGUGGAAAUUUUCAGGUCGACGGGUCGAGGGCCCACUCCAACAACACCGAUACUGUUCCCACUUAACCACAUGCACAAUCCUCAGGUGUGGGGCUUUAUCACAAAAGGCCUCGAUGUUAGUUAGAGAGGGGUAUUUCUAUUUAAAGCACUUUUUUCUUCUCCCUCUGUCCGAUGUGGGACUGAGGGUUCCAACACUCCCCCGCACGUGAGACCCCACUUAUGGGUCACACGUGAAUUUCCACACAUCGGCAACCAUGUGGAGCCAUGUCGGGACUCACCCAAUCACGCGGGGCCAAUGGGGACCCAUCCAAACACGUGGCAUCUUUGGCCUACGUGGACAAUCGCGCGGGGCCAAAGGGGACCCACCCAAUCAUGUGGCAAUACGGGCCCGCCUCCUGGCUCUGAUACCAUGUGGAAAUUUUCAGGUCGACGGGCAAAAAAAAAAAGAAAGUUUUUUUUUUUUAAAUUGUUGUCAAUGACAGUAGAAAAGCAAAAACAGGUCUACCAUGCUUCUAAUAAAAGUGUUUUUUUUCAACGCAUAGUAAUUAAUGUCAUUUAUGAAAUUUUCAAAUAGCAAGUAUACCCCCGUAUAUUUUACAAAAUUACAAUGAUUGCCCCUACAUUAUUUUGUUUGAAUAUUAUUAUAUCACAUUAAAUACUACAUUUUUCUUAGGCAUUUGACGUGAGGUUUUAUCACAAAAGGCCUCGAUGUUAGUUAGAGAUGGGUAUUUCUAUUUAAAGCACUCUUUUCUUCUCCCUCUGUCCGAUGUGGGACUGAGGGUUCCAACACUCCCCCGCACGUGAGACCCCACUUAUGGGUCACACGUGAAUUUCCACACAUCGGCAACCACGUGGAGCCAUGUUGGAACUCACCCAAUCACGCGGGGCCAAUGGGGACCCACCCAAACACGUGGCAUCUUUGGCCUACGUGGACAAUCGCGCGGGGCCAAAGAGGACCCACCCAAUCACGUGGCAGUACGGGCCCGCCUCCUGGCUCUGAUACCAUGUGGAAAUUUUCAGGUCGACGGGCCGAAGGCCCACUCCAACAACACCGAUACUGUCCCCACUUAACCACCUGCACAAUCUUCAGGUGUGGAGUUUUAUCACAAAAGGCCUCGAUGUUAGUUAGAGAUUGGUAUUUCUAUUUAAAGCACUCUUUUCUUCUCCCUCUGUCCGAUGUGGGACUGAGGGUUCCAACAUUUCCAAUCAGGAACAGAUGAAGAAGAAGAAGAAGCCAUCAACAAGCACAAGAUCGACAGCCUAAUGUGAGUCUGGCGUAGCCCCUUAACAAACUCAAGAUUGCAGGUCAACGACCCCCUUCAUUGGUUCUCCCUAGAAAAAUGAGAUGCAUCUUCAAGGGAGGCGCUUGGAAGUUGCCAGGAAAAGGGUCGCUUUGGCUAAAUAAAGUCCGCUAAUCUACGCCGUCCGAUUGAAUAAAGCAAGUGGGAUUGCACAUGUUGGCCGACAACCCCAUCAGGCUGGGCCCCAGUCCCUUCAGCAUGCUCCUUUUCCCUUGCUUUUUUGGCGCGUUGCCUUCCUUGUGGAGCGUCAAAGUGCGCAGCUUUCUCUCUUUCUCAGCGCGUCCACACGCGGAGCGGGUGAGUAUAGGAAAAGGAUCCGCAAGGAUUGUUUUGUUAGGGAUUCUAGAGAUUCUGUUAUCGGGAUCGUUCAUCGUAUAUUGUACAGUUGUAAAUUAUUUUAAAAUAUAAAAUUAAAUAUAAAUAAUACCUAAUAAAAACUGACAGCAUAAUGUAUGAUGAACGAUCACGAUCACGGAAUCUCAAAAAAAAAAGAUUCGGCAAGGAUCAUUUUCCAAAAAUUUUAAUCCAACUGGUUUCUUGUGUUAAAUUUAUCCCAAAAAUUAGUUUUGACCAAAAAUUGAUUUUUGGUCCAAGGGUUGGAGCAAAUCGAGAGAGUUUAAAAACAAAAAUUUAAGUUAGUCUAACAAAUACAAAUGAAAGAAAGUAACAUUCAUAUUUUAUUGUGCCCUUUAAUUUUUAUUUAAAAUGGUCUCGCAUAACUACUUACUUUUAAAAUUGAUAAAAAUGGUCCUGCCUUUGUUCUUUGUUUUUCAUUUAUUUAUAGGUAACUUGCUCAAGUCCAAAGGCAAUUAAACAUGAUUAGUAAAGCACCAUAAUAAAGCAUGAGAGAUAUCUAUUUUAAUUAAAUCCGUUGUGGGCUCACUGUGAUUGUACAUCAUCAUCAUCAUAAAUAAUGCAUGCUUGAACCCCAUUUUAGUUUCAUGCCUAUCAUGAUUAAAUCAUGGAUGGUCAAGAAGCAUAGGACUGAGAAAUCAGAGCCUAGUUUCCAAUACCAAAAGAGUACAAAUUAUUCAACUUAAACGCUAAUUUCGUUAACGAAGAUUAAAAUAGGCGUGAAAUCCAUACAAUUUAUACGUUACCAUUGAUUCAAGUUCUGGUAGGUAUCCAUGAAAACUAUCCGUUGCCGCUCUCUCAGUUCCCAUAUUUUCUGUAUAUUCCAUUAAAACAAUAUAAAUUUUUGAUGCUGAAGCUAAAACAGAUUACCAAUAAUAACAAAGAGGUCUAAAUAAUAGAAAUCAAAUUUUUUAUUUUUGCGGACUUUAGAGAAUCCCUGCAAACUUUAGCCUAACAUUAUGUGAUUGCCUCACUUCUUCAGUAACUCAGAGGAGGUGAAUUACUCAAAGUAUGGAGGACUUCUGCUAACAUAUUUCAAGCACUUGUAACAUUAAAUGUAAUGACAGGUUGACAUUAUUUUUUUUUUAAUUUUUUUUUUUGUAAAGAAUUGUUGCAAGAAGUUUGACCCUUUGUCUUUUUAUUUCUGUAAGGAUUUAUAGGUACAUAUAAAAUCCAUAUUAUAUAUGGUUCACAGAUGAGAGUACUUCAAACACCAAAUAUUCAUUCAUGAUUGGAGAUAAGAAAGCUUACUAAAAGGCAAUCGCCUUUGUGAUGUUUACUUUUGUGCUUAUCCUUUGUCUUCUUUUCUGAGGCAAAAUAUGUCAAUGUGAUAAGUAAUUUCCCAUAAAGAAUCUCAUCCUCAAUAGGCUAAACAACUACAAUGGUUAGUCAAAUAAUGUACUUUCAUGUAGUUAAUCUCCUCGGUUUGUGUUUACUUUUUCAAUAUCAAAACAUCUCGAAGAAACAACGUUUUCCCAUACUCUACAAACACCGAAUGUGCCCGAUAAACCACUAACAACGCCAUUACUCUAAUUCGACUGCAGAGUGAGAGUUAAGAUAAGAAGAUACUCACAGGUCAAAACGGAUGACAUCACCAACACGUAAAUCCAAAAGCCACAACCAAAUUUAAUUUUGUUUUUACUUUGAUUUUUUUUUUCUUGAAUCUGUUUGGAUGCUGAGAACGUGUGGUAUGGGAUUAUUAAUUACCGGCAGGGAAAGAUGACGAUUUCUCCUAUUUGGAUUUGCAGGUGGAGGAAUCAUAGCCGAGGGAUUGCAGUCCGUCGGUGACCAUCUUCCUCAAAUCGUCUUUUUGUUUGAGAUUCUUGUUUGCUUCGACGAUCCUCACCGUAUCGGCCAGGAGGUUUCUCUCCGAGACGCUCACGCAUGGAAUCAGACUCUGAUUAAACAAUAAUUAAGCAAACAAUCAAUCAUCCAUAUGCAUAUUCUGUGUUUGGUUGCCAAGAAACCGCGAGAAAUGCAAAAACAAUUUACUAAUAAAAAAGUUUAAUCAAAGCAACCAUUAUUUAUACUUUUGUACCUUAAGAAUAUCUGAGGCGUCGCCACCGAACAAACCGGAGGAGAUUGAAUCACCGAAACCUCCACCGAAUAUAUCGAGCUCGUCGUCGGAGCUGUCAUUGCUGUUGCCGUGAAAGCAAUUGCAGCGGUUCCGUCCACAUUUCGGCGGAGGUUGCUUCUCGUUGCUUUCUUCGAUGAAAUUCUGAACCAUCUUCGCCAAGCAGACCGAACUUGGCUUGAACUCAGGCCGCGGCGCUGACGGUCCCUUCAUCCUUGCUGAUAUUGAGGCCGCAGGAGUGGCGAGUUGUGAUGUGGACUCAGGCCUCUUGGCCUCUGGGUUUUACGGAGAAGGGGAAGACGGUGAGGGUUGAGAGAGAUGCAGAGUCUGAAAGAGAGUGAAAGAGAAAGGGUUAUAAGAGAGGUUGGGUGUGACAGAGACGAUUGAAGCAAAACGCACGAUGAUAAACGCGUGUGCUCGGUUCAGAAUGGCAAGCCCGUAAAUACCCAAUGACAGAUUUGUAAAUAAAAUGAAAUUCACUUCAAAAUACUGUUCAUUUUAAUAGUGCCAAUUGAAAACCUUACUUUAGACUAAAGUAACUAGAAAUUAUGCAUGCGCGUUGCUACUAGAAUCAGCUGUUUCAAACGUAAUUGGAUGGACAUAACACAUUUAAGUUGAAUAAAUUCAAAACAAUUACGAACAAACAGAAGGAUACAUGAGUGCAUGAGACCGGUAAGAUCAGUAGUUUCGUUUUUGUACACUUGUAAGUGAGUUGACAUAUAAACACAUUGCACAAUGAGUGAGAAUAAACUAUACGUGUUUGAAACUUCAUUUUAAACUAACAUUCACACAAUCCUAAUCAUUUGUGAAUUACCAUAUUCUUAUCAUUAUUCCAAUAUCUCUUCAUGUAGAUGGGGUGAGCUCAUACCAGUCAUUAAGGGCAUGUUUGAUACUCUACUUGAAUUCAACUUUUUAAAUUAAAAAAAAAAAAAUUCAAAUUUUAAGCCUUAAAAACUUGUUUGGUAAGAUUAUUUUCAAAAAUUGAACUUAAGAUUAACUCAAAACUAUAGUUUACUCUCUAAAAACACAAAAAGUAAAUUUUUAGAAUUUUUAAACUUAAACUCACUCAUUUCUUUUCUCUCCCUCCUCUCACUCCAAAUCUAUCUCUCUUUUCUUCUUUCUAUGUCCCCCUUCUUUUUUUUUUUUUACCUUUUUCGUCCCUCCUCCAAUCCGCUCUCUUUAUUAUCUCGAUUCUUUCUUUCACUUCUCUUCCUCCCUAUCUCCUCCGAUCCUCUCUUCUUUCUCUUUCCUUUAAUCACGUCUUAUUUUCUUUCCUCCUCUUUCCUCUUUCUCCCUCGACCCCCUCUUUUUGGAUCUCUUUGUCCAGUUUAAGUUGUAAGAUUUAAAAAUUUUAAAUCACAUACCAAACAAGUUUUGUAGUCUUAAAUAAAAUUAUUUUCAAGAAAAAUUCCUAAGAAAUGUUUUGAGAAAUGAUAAAAAAUUUCAAAUAGGAUAUCAAACAAGCAUUAAAAUUGCUAAUGUAUUUAGUGAUUAUACAGAGCAACUUAACUAUAGAAACGCUCCUCAAAUCACUCUAUACGUUUCCAUUUUGCUUUUCAAAUUAGCAUGUUUAUGUAUUGACAUUAGAAACAGCGGAAAAUACUUUUUACAUUCACCUCUUUCAGACCCUGCGUAAAGCGGGAGCCUUGUGCACUGAGUACGACCUUUAUGCAUUGACAUUAGAGAAAACGAGAAUGCUGAUGAAAAUUGGAUUAUUAGAGGUUAAACGGCAGCGAACCAUUCGGUGUUGAUAAUGAAUACGAAGAUGUGCGAUUUCACGUGAAUGCUGCUUGGAAGGCUAUGAAGUUUCUUGCACUGCUUUAGACUCAAACUCUCAAGGUUUUCAAGAGAUGAAAUUGAUGGGCAAAGGUCUUCAACAGAUAUCUCAUCCAAGCGAAGCUCUCUUAAUCCUUCCAGAUCUCCGACAUUUCCUGGAAAGCCCUUGAGCUUUGGACAACCAGAAAGAUUAAGAAAUUGCAGGGACUUGAGUUGAACAAAGCUGUUUGGAAGAAUCUCAAGUUCUCUGCAAUAUUCAAGAUUCAAAGUAACAAGCCCUGUAAGAUUGUUAAUUGAUCGAGGCAGUUCUUUUAUUGCAGUCCCUUGAAAAUAAAGCUUUGAAAGCUUCUCCAUAACUUCUGAAAUCUCUGGAAACUUCCCAAGUAUUGAACAAAAAGAGAGAUCAAGGGUUUCAAGAGAUUUCAUACUAAUGUUGCUUGAAAAGGUCUUGAGUUUGCCGCACCAACUUAGAUCCAAGAGGACAAGUUUUUCAAGGGCAGAAAUGGAUGGGUGAACCUCAUACAAACUUGUGCAUCUACCAAGAAUUAGCUUCUCAAGAUUCUUUGCCUCAGUGAAGUCAGGUGUUUCCUUAAGACGAUGAGAGCCUUUUAAAUUGAUAAUUUUCAACUUUCCCAGAGGCUGUCAAUAUACAAGGAAAAUAUGUGUUACCCACAUAAUAAGGCAAUUAAAAACUAAAGCAUUUAAAAGCAGUAUAU
This 9203-nucleotide long non-coding RNA is filed under the name Malus domestica (apple). Its description in RNAcentral is "long non-coding RNA (MDOM_LNC002157)". The record is from RNAcentral. Lineage: Eukaryota; Viridiplantae; Streptophyta; Magnoliopsida; Rosales; Rosaceae.